Molecule: transfer-messenger RNA, 370 nt
Filed under: Candidatus Microbacterium stercoravium
Lineage: Bacteria; Bacillati; Actinomycetota; Actinomycetes; Micrococcales; Microbacteriaceae
Rfam family: transfer-messenger RNA
About the family: Bacterial tmRNA, also known as 10Sa RNA or SsrA, is named for its dual tRNA and mRNA-like properties. Its role is to liberate the mRNA from a stalled ribosome.
Source: RNAcentral
GGGGCUGAUCGGUUUCGACAGUCGCUGCUGAUCUGUGAGAAGCGGGCCGAGGACGCAGGGUUGUCUCGUAAACGCCCCCUGCAAAACAAAUAAGUGCCAACUCUAAGCGCACUGACUUCGCCCUCGCUGCAUAAGCGAGCCCGAUAGUCCGUCAGACCGUGGGUGAUCCCGACACGGAUUCUGGCGUCAUUGAGGGAUCUUGCUGUAACGCGGCGUCGUGACGCGUUAUGGGACUUUUCCGCGACUGGGCUCGUCGAUCUAUGUGUCUGUGCUAAAGAUCGGAGCCGAGCAGAACGUCUCCACAGACUGCGCCCGGAGAAACCCCAGUGACCCAGUACUGGACGGGGGUUCGAUUCCCCCCAGCUCCACC